Molecule: ribosomal RNA, 229 nt
Filed under: Aspergillus wisconsinensis
Lineage: Eukaryota; Fungi; Ascomycota; Eurotiomycetes; Eurotiales; Aspergillaceae
Description: partial 28S ribosomal RNA
Rfam family: Eukaryotic large subunit ribosomal RNA
Source: RNAcentral
UUUAAGGUUGACCUCGGAUCAGGUAGGGAUACCCGCUGAACUUAAGCAUAUCAAUAAGCGGAGGAAAAGAAACCAACCGGGAUUGCCUCAGUAACGGCGAGUGAAGCGGCAAGAGCUCAAAUUUGAAAUCUGGCCCCCUCGGGGUCCGAGUUGUAAUUUGCAGAGGAUGCUUCGGAUGCGGCCCCUGUCUAAGUGCCCUGGAACGGGCCGUCGGAGAGGGUGAGAAUCC